AGUCGAGCGGAAACGAAGAGGUGCUUGCACCUUUGGCGUCGAGCGGCGGACGGGUGAGUAAUGCUUGGGAAUAUGCCUUAUGGUGGGGGACAACAGUUGGAAACGACUGCUAAUACCGCAUGAUGUCUACGGACCAAAGUGGGGGACCUUCGGGCCUCACGCCAUAAGAUUAGCCCAAGUGGGAUUAGCUAGUUGGUGAGGUAAUGGCUCACCAAGGCGACGAUCCCUAGCUGGUUUGAGAGGAUGAUCAGCCACACUGGGACUGAGACACGGCCCAGACUCCUACGGGAGGCAGCAGUGGGGAAUAUUGCACAAUGGGCGCAAGCCUGAUGCAGCCAUGCCGCGUGUGUGAAGAAGGCCUUCGGGUUGUAAAGCACUUUCAGUAAGGAGGAAAGGUUAAGUGUUAAUAGCACUUAGCUGUGACGUUACUUACAGAAGAAGCACCGGCUAACUCCGUGCCAGCAGCCGCGGUAAUACGGAGGGUGCGAGCGUUAAUCGGAAUUACUGGGCGUAAAGCGUACGCAGGCGGUUUGUUAAGCGAGAUGUGAAAGCCCCGGGCUCAACCUGGGAACUGCAUUUCGAACUGGCAAACUAGAGUGUGAUAGAGGGUGGUAGAAUUUCAGGUGUAGCGGUGAAAUGCGUAGAGAUCUGAAGGAAUACCGAUGGCGAAGGCAGCCACCUGGGUCAACACUGACGCUCAUGUACGAAAGCGUGGGGAGCAAACAGGAUUAGAUACCCUGGUAGUCCACGCCGUAAACGAUGUCUACUAGAAGCUCGGCUCUUCGGAGUUGUUUUUCAAAGCUAACGCAUUAAGUAGACCGCCUGGGGAGUACGGCCGCAAGGUUAAAACUCAAAUGAAUUGACGGGGGCCCGCACAAGCGGUGGAGCAUGUGUUUAUUCGAUGCACGCGAGACCUUACCUACACUUGACAUACAGAGACUUACCAGAGAUGUUUGUGCUUCGGGACUCUGAUACAGUGCUGCAUGCUGUCGUCAGCUCGUGUGUGAGAUGUUGGGUAAGUCCCGCAACGAGCGCAACCCCUAUUCUUAGUUGCCAGCGAUUCGGUCGGUACUCUAAGAGACUGCCGGUGUAUAAACACGCAGGAAGGAGGGGGACCACCUCAGGUCUUCUUGGGCUUCCACUUUGAGGGGGUAAAACCCCGUGUCUAUGGCCCCAUACAGAAGAGCUGCGAACCGUGUCCAGUAGCAAAUACACCUCUAAUAUGCGUGCGGCGUAAUACUCGGGCAAUG
This 1250-nucleotide ribosomal RNA is filed under the name uncultured Pseudoalteromonas sp. RNAcentral's name for it is "partial 16S ribosomal RNA". It matches the Rfam family "Bacterial small subunit ribosomal RNA", at positions 60 to 1307 of the family's 1533-position model. Lineage: Bacteria; Pseudomonadati; Pseudomonadota; Gammaproteobacteria; Alteromonadales; Pseudoalteromonadaceae. The record is from RNAcentral.